CUUCUCAGGUCCUGCCAAUGUUCCUGUGUGCUAUUGCUGAGUAACAUUUGCAUUGUUCUAAAAGACAAUUACAACACUCCUAAGAAUUGGGCCAUAUAUAUUUACUUUCUUUCAGGAGAAUUCUCACUGGGUGUUCCCAAAUCCUUAUCUUCACCUGCGAAGGCAAAAGUUGGAAUAUCACGAGAAUGGAGUGGAACAUCUGAGUUAAAUACAUCUGAUGACUCUAGUGUAAAACUCCGGAGUCCCAAAUCAGGUAAAAAAAUUUCCUUUGGCUUUAGAUGACAUUUAGCCCUAAGAAUUUAUAGUAUAAGGAUGACUCCUUAAAUUUAGAGUAGUUCACCUCCGGAAAUGGCAUGGUUCCCAUAAUAGCUCCCACUAUUUAUUAGUUUAUUUCUGAUUUUUCCAGGCUAGGAAUUUUGUUUUGUCAAGGGCAAGGUAAACACAGGAUUUUAAAACUCUGCUCCUUGAUAUAUAGUCCUUUUAAAAAAAAAAAACCCAAAACUAUUUUAGGUAGAAUCUCUUAAAACUUUGAAGCUUUUUUAUUUUAUUAGUUUUUACCGUUGUUAGCAAUGUGACUCUUUAGGUAUUUAACUUGCUGUUGCUUCUCCAGGAUUUUUGAGUUUUGCUCGUUUUUUUAAAAAAAAGAUUUUAUUUAUUUAUUUGAGAGAGAUAGUGAGUGAGACAGAGUGAAGAAGCAGGGGUAAGGGCAGAGGGAGAAGCUGACUCCCCACUGAGCAGGGAGCCCCACUUGGGGUUCUAUCCCAGGACUCUGAGAUCAUGAUCUGAGCUAAAGGCAGGUGCCUAACUGACUGAGCCACCCAGGCGCCCUAAGCUUUACUUAUUUUAUACAUGGAAUAACAACAUCCACAGCUAACAUAACUGGGCACACAAAGGUACUAUACGUUAUAAUACAUGUAGUUGCCCUUAACAAAUUAUUCAUGUGAACGUGUUAUUCAAAUAUACAUAGGUAGUUUAACAUAGAGAUUAAUGAACAUGGGCUUUGGAGUCUGAUAGGCUUUUAUUUAAAUCUUUAGCUUACCAGUAGUUAUCAAAAUGUAUGACUUUGGUGAAAUUAUAUACUUUGUUGAUUUUCCUCAUUUAUAAUACCAGGAUAACAGAAUUCAUUUCUUAGAGAAUUUUUUAAGGGUUGAGUCAGACAAUGCAUAUAAAGCUUUUGACACAGUGGUUGUCAAAUAAUAAGCUCUCAUUAAAUGCUAUUACCAUUUUUAUUAGAUAAUUAUUAAAUGAGCAAUUCCUAAGCAAGUUCUAUAUGUUUUAUGCAGUGUUAGCAUAGGCAGGAUAUGUAAGAGAAGAUACUGUUUAAUGUUUAUAUUCAAACUGGGUAGGCAAAAUUAAUACUUACUUGGAGCCACUAACUGAUCAUCUGUGUGUCGCUGAUUAUAAUCACCAAGAGUCUGGGAAAAAAGGAGGUAUCACUGGAGUGGUUAGGAAAGGCUUCACUGAGUAGAAGAAAGAAAUUUAAGAAUAUGAAUAGACAGAGGAAAAAGGAGGUAAGCUCCCUCCUAGGAGCAGGGAUCAGGAUAACAUUGACUUAAAAAGUAGAAAUAAGCAUGAUGAGUGUAAAGAAAUGGUGAGUAGGUUACUUUAGUUGUAAUGGAGGAUCUAUUCAGGGAAAUAUGGAAAAUAAAUUUGGAUAGAUAAAAUGUGGAAAGAUUCUG
RNAcentral lists this long non-coding RNA (1679 nucleotides) under Canis lupus dingo (dingo). RNAcentral describes it as "lncRNA (ENSCAFG00020001409.1)". Lineage: Eukaryota; Metazoa; Chordata; Mammalia; Carnivora; Canidae. The record is from RNAcentral.